RNAcentral lists this ribosomal RNA (1486 nucleotides) under Patescibacteria group bacterium. RNAcentral's name for it is "bacterial SSU rRNA". It matches the Rfam family "Bacterial small subunit ribosomal RNA". The record is from RNAcentral.
UAUUAUAAGAGUUUGAUCCUAGCUCAGGAUGAACGCUGGCGGCGUGUCUAAGGCAUGCAAGUCGAACGCACGUUAUGGUGCGUGGCAAACGGGAGAGUAAUACUUUGGUAACCUACCUCUUAGUCGUGAAUAACUUCUUGAAAAAUUAGAUAAUACACGAUGGUCUGGAUUUUCAUAUGAAAGUCUAGUAAAGAUUUAUCGCUAAGAGAGGGGCCUAAGGCCUAUCAGCUUGUUGGUGAGAUAAUAGCCCACCAAGGCAACGACGGGUAGCAGGUGUGAGAGCAUGACCUGCCCCAUUGGGACUGAGACACUGCCCAGACACCUACGGGUGGCUGCAGUUAAGAAUAUUCCACAAUGCACGAAAGUGUGAUGGAGCGACGCCGCGUGAAUGAUGAAGCCCUUCGGGGUGUAAAGUUCUUUUAUUAAGGAAAAAUUUUUGAUGUUACUUAAUGAAUAAGGGGCUGCUAACUUCGUGCCAGCAGCAGCGGUAAUACGAAGGCCCCGAGCGUUAUCCGGAUUUACUGGGUGUAAAACGUCUGUAGAUGGUUUGAAAAGUUAAAUGUAAAAUCUUUUAGCUUAACUAAAAACUUGCAUUUAAUACUGUCAUAACUAGAGGACGGGGGAAGUAAGUGGAAUUCCCGGUGUAGUUGUAAUAAGCGUUAAUAUCGGGAAGAACACCAAAAGUGAAAACAGCUUACUAAAACGUUCCUGACAUUGAGAGACGAAAGCGUGGGGAGCGAUACGGAUUAGAUACCCGUGUAGUCCACGCCCUAAACGAUGAGUGCUAAGCAUUGGAAGUAUCGACCCUUUCAGUGCUGUUAUAUUCAAGCUAACGCCUUAAGCACUCUACCUGGGGAGUACGACCGCAAGGUUAAAACUCAAAGGAAUUGACGGGGACCCGCACAAGCGGUGGAGCAUGUGGUUUAAUUCGACAAUAAACGGAGAACCUUACCAAGGCUUGACAUUUGCAGAAUCCUUUGGAAACAGAGGAGUGCUCGCAAGAGAGCUGUAAAACAGGUGCUGCAUGGUUGUCGUCAGCUCGUGCUGUGAAGUGUAUGGUUAAGUCCAAUAACGAGCGCAACCCCUAUUGUAAGUUACUAUGUCUUACGAAACUGACCACUUCAAGUGGUAGGAAGGUGGGGAUGACGUCAAAUCAGCACGGCCCUUACGCCUUGGGCCACACACGUGCUACAAUGGGUAAGAACAAAGGGUAGCUAAAUCGCAAGAUGGAGCUAAUCCCAGCAAAAUCACCCUCAGUUCAGAUUGAGGUCUGCAACUCGACCUCAUGAAGUCGGAAUCGCUAGUAAUCGUGGGUCAGCACACCACGGUGAAUACGUUCUCGGGUCUUGUACACACCGCCCGUCACGUCAAGAGAGCUGGUAAUACCCGAACAUCGAUGUUAAAUCAAUGGAAGGUAGGAUCAGUAAUAGGGAUGAAGUCGUAACAAGGCAGGGGUAGCGGAAGCUGUUCCUGGAUCACCUCCUUU